CCUACGGGAGGCAGCAGUGAGGAAUAUUGGUCAAUGGGCGGAAGCCUGAACCAGCCAAGUCGCGUGAGGGAGUAAGGCCCUACGGGUCGUAAACCUCUUUUGCCGGGGAGCAGUGCCCAGCUCGUGAGCUGGGAGGGAGCGUACCCGGAGAAAAAGCAUCGGCUAACUCCGUGCCAGCAGCCGCGGUAAUACGGAGGAUGCGAGCGUUAUCGGGAUUUACUGGGUUUAAGGGAUGCGGUGGCGGGCCUUAAGGCCGGCGGGAAAAUGGCGGGGCUCAACCCCGCCGAGCCGUCGGAACCGGGGGCCUUGAGUACCGGAGAGGUACGCGGAAUGCGUGGUGUAGCGGUGAAAUGCAUAGAUAUCACGCAGAACCCCGAUUGCGAAGGCAGCGUACCGGCCGGUCACUGACGCUGAGGCACGAAAGCGCGGGUAUCGAACAGGAUUAGAUACCCCUGUAGUC
This 460-nucleotide ribosomal RNA is filed under the name uncultured bacterium. RNAcentral's name for it is "partial 16S ribosomal RNA". It matches the Rfam family "Bacterial small subunit ribosomal RNA", at positions 338 to 795 of the family's 1533-position model. The record is from RNAcentral.